UACGUAGGGUGCAAGCGUUAUCCGGAAUUAUUGGGCGUAAAGAGCUCGUAGGCGGUUUGUCGUGUCUGCUGUGAAAACUGGAGGCUCAACCUCCAGCCUGCAGUGGGUACGGGGCAGACUAGAGUGCGGUAGGGGGAGAUUGGAAUUCCUGGUGUAGCGGUGGAAUGCGCAGAUAUCAGGAGGAACACCGAUGCGAAGGCAGAUCUCUGGGCCGUAAC
RNAcentral lists this ribosomal RNA (218 nucleotides) under uncultured bacterium. Its description in RNAcentral is "partial 16S ribosomal RNA". It matches the Rfam family "Bacterial small subunit ribosomal RNA", at positions 524 to 740 of the family's 1533-position model. The record is from RNAcentral.